AAUAGAGGUGCGUCGGCACAUCAGUAUCCCUCGGGAGACACCGGGUCUUUGACCGUGGGAAAAAGGGUGCGACGCCGAAGAUGCCCGUCUUCCGGCCGGCAGGACAUCUGGCUUUGCAGUGAAGAACUGUAAGGUUGUCAUCAUAUUUAUGAUGGAGCGCUAUU
This 164-nucleotide non-coding RNA is filed under the name human gut metagenome. RNAcentral's name for it is "Lysine riboswitch". It matches the Rfam family "Lysine riboswitch aptamer". Rfam says of the family: Riboswitches are metabolite binding domains within certain messenger RNAs that serve as precision sensors for their corresponding targets. Allosteric rearrangement of mRNA structure is mediated by ligand binding, and this results in modulation of gene expression. The record is from RNAcentral.